GUAUCAGCCCUCCAAACCGCAUUCCAACGGACAGCAGUGAAAAAUUACCCCACACAUACGCACCUCAGGCGUUCCAGCGAAGCAGAAUGAGAAAACGGUGGGGAAAAGGAAAGAUUAGAGCCUCCUCCGAGCAGCCGAGCGGCACCGUCGCGGAGGAGAGGCUGCGCCGCGCAGCCGUGAGGACCGGAGGAGACUACACCACCGGUCCGGGAACCUGUUGCCGUGAACCGCCACGGCGGCAUGGAAGGAGCACCGCUGCGGAUUGGGGAGGAGCGCCGUCGCGGGCCUAGGGAGAGCGCUGCCCGGACCAAGCUCCCUGCUUGACCGAUCAAGGACUCUCGAUUCCGGCCGCCUGCAGCACAUCAGGCCAUCAGCUAACAGAAUGGCAGCACCGGGCAAAGCUAGCGGUAUGCAACAACAGGGAGGCUCUUGAUUUGCUUAUAUCUGGUUCUGCUAUUAAGUUACUGAAGCAAGGCAAGAAGUGCUUUGGCGUGAGUUCUUCCAACGUUGACUGGAGCAAUUGGGCGUGGCUUUGUCGGGCGCCGGGCAUGCUUUGGCAUGACUUCAUUGGACGUCGAGUGAAGCGGCUGGGCAUGGAUUGUCGUGGUAGCUCUGUCGACUUCAAUAUGUUCAAGUCGUGGUGGUUGUCGACUUCAAAUUGAUUGCUUGACAUGGCAAAGUCAAAAAAGAGCAAGGAAAAUAAUAUAGUAGGGAGUGCUGUUACUCAUCGGGUGAAACGGAAAAGGUUCUACCGUCGAGAUUCUGCUGGUACUUAUAGUGCAGUAGAUGGUCCAAGUCCACCGGCUAAAUCUACAAACACAGUAUCACCUGCUCCACCAGCUGCAGCAUCCGCUUCAAUUGUACCAGCAUCUCAACCAGUUACUCAUUCGUUUGCUCCGAAACUGGCCAGUUCCCAAGCUGCCUUCACACCUAACACUACUUCCGAAGCACUGCUGACACAACAGAACUUGGCAAGAUCAGAUGAACCUCAUGAGCAUCAACACCAAGACGCACCACGGCGCAAGCGGAAACAGACAUUAGGGAUAAUGCUUGACAGAUUAACAAAAUCUAAAGGAGGAAGAUUGGAGAUCCAUUUUGAGGCAGGUUUAAAAAGGCCACGUGAUGCUACAUAGUCAGCCAAGUUAGUAUCAGAGGCAGCCGUUGCCGUUAGGUGUCAUGCGCGUAUCCAGUACAGAAAUGAGAAAGACAAUACCCAGUUUAACACCUUCCUUGACCAUUUAUCCUCUGCUCUACGACGGUAUCGGUACCACCUUAGAAAAUCUCACUUUGAAGGCAAGGCUAACAAUGAAAUCGCCCAAACAUCUCCAGUGGAAUAUAUUACGGAUGAAAACUGGACAACCCUCGUUAAACACUGGUCUGAUCCAAAGUAUCAGAGGAAAGCCCAUGCUGAACAAAAAGAACCUGAACCGAAUGCAGUGCAAAUCUUCAAGGAUUGUCAUACCGGCAAGAUGAAGGGCAUGAUCACACCAGUUCAAGCCGCUGUUGGAGCUAUGGAACAAAUGAUUGAACAACCACAACCACCUGAAGGUGACGAGGCUACUACAGGCACAAUGUCACCUCUUGCUGUAGUGUGUCAAUAUCUCUCCACUAAUAGUGCAAAAAGCACCUUCCUGCGUAAUUUUGGGUUGGUUGUCAAGGUAACCUCGUCCAAAUCACCUUCUGAACAAAAUCUUCCUGCUAGAUAGAGUGAUAUAUCUGUGCUCCAGACACAAGUCCAAUCCCUAAUGGACGUUAUUUUGGAAACAAGAAUAGUGGUUGAGAAAUUUCGUCAAGAUAUGAAUGGUUUUGAAACCAGACUAUCAGACAUUAGCUUCGUUGUUCAAGAGGAAUGACGGAAAAAAGGUGGAGAUCGUGCUGCUCCAUCAGAUUCUACAGCCUGAAACAUUAGCACUCGGGUCAAAUGAUUUGUGCUUCUAUACAUCUGAUGGUGCUUUUAUCUGGAAGGACUGUAAACUUUAUGCCAACAGACCUUUUGUUGUAUGGUUGGAAUUUAUUUUGUUGUGAUACAACAUUUAUGAUGCUGCCAUAGGCUGCAGUAAUUAAGACGCCAUUUUUGUAUAGUGUAGGUCUAUCUUAGUAAUGUAUUCGGCCGAAAGCUUCGUAGGAGCCCAACAUGCCAACAUUCGUCGGGCCCAUUCCAAUUGGGC
Molecule: ribosomal RNA, 2168 nt
Filed under: Triticum aestivum (bread wheat)
Lineage: Eukaryota; Viridiplantae; Streptophyta; Magnoliopsida; Poales; Poaceae
Description: partial small subunit ribosomal RNA
Source: RNAcentral